This 460-nucleotide ribosomal RNA is filed under the name uncultured bacterium. Its description in RNAcentral is "partial 16S ribosomal RNA". It matches the Rfam family "Bacterial small subunit ribosomal RNA", at positions 338 to 795 of the family's 1533-position model. The record is from RNAcentral.
CCUACGGGAGGCAGCAGUGAGGAAUAUUGGUCAAUGGGCGCUAGCCUGAACCAGCCAAGUAGCGUGAAGGAUGACUGCCCUAUGGGUUGUAAACUUCUUUUAUAUGGGAAUAAAGUGCAGUAUGUAUACUGCUUUGCAUGUACCUUAUGAAUAAGGAUCGGCUAACUCCGUGCCAGCAGCCGCGGUAAUACGGAGGAUCCGAGCUUUAUCCGGAUUUAUUGGGUUUAAAGGGAGCGUAGGCGGGUUGUUAAGUCAGUUGUGAAAGUUUGCGGCUCAACCGUAAAAUUGCAGUUGAUACUGGCAUCCUUGAGGACAGUAGAGGUAGGCGGAAUUCGUGGUGUAGCGGUGAAAUGCUUAGAUAUCACGAAGAACUCCGAUUGCGAAGGCAGCCUGCUGGACUGUAACUGACGCUGAUGCUCGAAAGUGUGGGUAGCAAACAGGAUUAGAUACCCCUGUAGUC